GAUGAACGCUGGCGGCGUGUUUAAGGCAUGCAAGUCGAACGUGUACCUUCGGGUACAAGUGGCAAACGGGAGAGUAACACAUUGGUAACCUACCUCGAAGUUCGGGACAACCCAUCGAAAGAUGGGCUAAUACCGGAUGUGCAUAAUACAUACUUUGUAUUAUGUAAAGAUUUAUCGCUUCGAGAGGGGCCUAUGGUCUAUCAGCUUGUUGGUGAGGUAAAAGCUCACCAAGGCAACGACGGAUAGCGGGUGUGAGAGCAUGACCCGUCCCACUGGGACUGAGACACUGCCCAGACUCCUACGGGAGGCUGCAGUCAAGAAUCUUCCCCAGUGGCCGAAAGGCUGAGGGAGCGACGCCGCGUGUAGGAAGAAGUCUUUCGGGAUGUAAACUACUUUUCUGUGGGAAAAAUCCA
RNAcentral lists this ribosomal RNA (413 nucleotides) under uncultured Parcubacteria group bacterium. RNAcentral describes it as "bacterial SSU rRNA". It matches the Rfam family "Bacterial small subunit ribosomal RNA", at positions 28 to 453 of the family's 1533-position model. The record is from RNAcentral.